This 575-nucleotide ribosomal RNA is filed under the name uncultured Pseudomonas sp. RNAcentral's name for it is "bacterial SSU rRNA". It matches the Rfam family "Bacterial small subunit ribosomal RNA", at positions 924 to 1498 of the family's 1533-position model. The record is from RNAcentral. Lineage: Bacteria; Pseudomonadati; Pseudomonadota; Gammaproteobacteria; Pseudomonadales; Pseudomonadaceae.
CACGGAAGGUGGAACAUGUGGUUUAAUUCGAAGCAACGGGAAGAACCUUACCAGGGCCUGACAUGCAGAGAACUUUCCAGAGAUGGAUUGGUGCCUUAGGGAACUCUGACACAGGUGCUGCAUGGCUGUCGUCAGCUCGUGUCGUGGGAUGUUGGGUUAAGUCCCGUAAAGAGCGCAACCCUUGUCCUUAGUUACCAGCACGUUAUGGUGGGCACUUAAAGGAGACUGCCGGUGACAAACCGGAGGAAGGUGGGGAUGACGUCAAGUCAUCAUGGCCCUUACGGCCUGGGCUACACACGUGCUACAAUGGUCGGUACAGAGGGUUGCCAAGCCGCGAGGUGGAGCUAAUCUCACAAAACCGAUCGUAGUCCGGAUCGCAGUCUGCAACUCGACUGCGUGAAGUCGGAAUCGCUAGUAAUCGCGAAUCAGAAUGUCGCGGUGAAUACGUUCCCGGGCCUUGUACACACCGCCCGUCACACCAUGGGAGUGGGUUGCACCAGAAGUAGCUAGUCUAACCUUCGGGAGGACGGUUACCACGGUGUGAUUCAUGACUGGGGUGAAGUCGUAACAAGGUA